This 274-nucleotide ribosomal RNA is filed under the name uncultured bacterium. RNAcentral's name for it is "partial 16S ribosomal RNA". It matches the Rfam family "Bacterial small subunit ribosomal RNA", at positions 355 to 620 of the family's 1533-position model. The record is from RNAcentral.
UGGGGAAUCUUCCGCAAUGGGCGAAAGCCUGACGGAGCAACGCCGCGUGAGUGAAGACGGCCUUCGGGUUGUAAAGCUCUGUUAUAUGGGACGAACGGGUGUAUGGUCAAUACCCAUACGCCGUGACGGUACCGUAAGAGAAAGCCACGGCUAACUACGUGCCAGCAGCCGCGGUAAUACGUAGGUGGCAAGCGUUGUCCGGAAUCAUUGGGCGUAAAGGGCGCGCAGGCGGUUCGGUAAGUCGGUCUUAAAAGUGCGGGGCUUAACCCCGUGA